GACGAACGCUGGCGGCGUGCUUAACACAUGCAAGUCGAACGGAAAGGCCCUGCUUUUGUGGGGUGCUCGAGUGGCGAACGGGUGAGUAACACGUGAGUAACCUGCCCUUGACUUUGGGAUAACUUCAGGAAACUGGGGCUAAUACCGGAUAGGAGCUCCUGCUGCAUGGUGGGGGUUGGAAAGUUUCGGCGGUUGGGGAUGGACCCGCGGCUUAUCAGCUUGUUGGUGGGGUAGUGGCUUACCAAGGCUUUGACGGGUAGCCGGCCUGAGAGGGUGACCGGCCACAUUGGGACUGAGAUACGGCCCAGACUCCUACGGGAGGCAGCGGUGGGGAAUAUUGCACAAUGGGCGGAAGCCUGAUGCAGCAACGCCGCGUGCGGGAUGACGGCCUUCGGGUUGUAAACCGCUUUCGCCUGUGACGAAGCGUGAGUGACGGUAAUGGGUAAGGAAGCACCGGCUAACUACGUG
Molecule: ribosomal RNA, 468 nt
Filed under: uncultured bacterium
Lineage: Bacteria
Description: partial 16S ribosomal RNA
Rfam family: Bacterial small subunit ribosomal RNA
Source: RNAcentral